GUCAUCUCUGGGACAUCCGAUAAUAUUGGAACGAUACAGAGAAGAUUAGCAUGGCCCCUGCGCAAAGGAUAAUAUGCACAAAUCAAGAAAUAAUCCAAAUUAAA
Molecule: small nuclear RNA, 104 nt
Filed under: Corchorus olitorius
Lineage: Eukaryota; Viridiplantae; Streptophyta; Magnoliopsida; Malvales; Malvaceae
Source: RNAcentral